Molecule: long non-coding RNA, 1488 nt
Organism: Harpia harpyja (harpy eagle)
Lineage: Eukaryota; Metazoa; Chordata; Aves; Accipitriformes; Accipitridae
Exons: 2
Source: RefSeq, a predicted model, not a curated record
CCGCCCCGCCCCCGACCGGGCACCGUCUCCGCCACCACCGGUGCCUCCCGCCCGCCCGCCCCGGCCCGCUUACCCUGUCCUCCCUUCAGCGCGGGGAGGGCCGCUGGCGCAGGAGUCCCCGAAAACCUGAGGCCGUUGGGUUGCAGCAGCCGUGGUUUCCUUCGGCGAGGACGGAGAUCCAAAUGCACAAGGUCCCUACCGUUCGGGACGCGUUUUGGCAAAGGGACAAAAAUAAACUGCCUUCAGCUUUAAUGUGUAACGCUGGGAGUUCUUACACGAUAUUUCGGUACAAACCAGUUCUGUAAGCUGCACUCAUUGUAAUCCACACAGAAAAAGGCAGGAUUUUUGCUUAGCCGACGAGUUUCCUAGUCCAUGCCAGAUUUCAUCUGGACUGAUGGCAGCCGCCUCUGCUGCGCAUCAGAACUGGCUGCAUUGUACUUCCAGUCCUGCGUUCACCAACGGAGGUUGAAUUAUUUUCCAGUCUAGUGCAAGUGCAUACGCUAGGGUUUGUGAUUUCACAGUCAAGAGUGUUUGGUUGUUUUUAUCAGCUGCCAUAACAAGUGCCGGUGCCAGUAUAGUCUGAAGCAGGAGGUUUUUCCAGAUAGCUCAUGUACCUUCAAGACCGGAUGGGCAAGUUCACAGCAGAGAAAUCCAUUAGGGGUUAUUAUGCACAUAGAAACUACCUCGGGCUCUGGGGGGGCUCCCUAACUAGAUCCUGGGAGAUACUUUUACUAGUCAGGCCACUGUCAGACACAAUGUAAGAUGACACCUCUGCCUGACUCUCUGCACUCAGUUAUUUGUAAUUUAUUAUUAAAAUGUUAUUUUUAAGCUCAAAUAUAAAAUUGUUUAUAAUUGAAAUUAUCUUGACUUUGAAGCUCAGUUAUAAAAUUAUGAAUGCGUAGUUGUCUGUAGUCUGACCGUGUCUUUUUACAGAGGUAAAAUACUCUUUCCGCAGUUUUUGAGAUAGGACUCAACUAUCUUAGAAGGCAAUACCUUAGAGUACUUAUUAACGAACUGAAUUGGAAGACACACUCUAAGACCAUUUUUUAGUACAAGGCUCUGGAAUUAUGUAUGCAUAAUCUAUAGAAUUUCCUGUUACACACUAUUCCAAACACAACACACCCAGCCUCUUGUCAAAUCUGAACCUUUCAGCAAUGCUUACAGCUUUUAAUGCUUAAAACAACAUUUUCACAAAAAAUAGAAUUAGCUUUAGUGUGACUUUGUUUGUUGAAAUAACAAUGUGAUGCCAACAUAUUUGUUACCUAGUGUAAACCAGUGAUUGUUACCCUAUUUCUUGUUUUCCCUUGACACAUUUUUAAAUAAGCAUUACUUUUACAAUCAAAUAAUUCUGGCUAACUUUGGUGUCAAUUACCCUAUAUUUAAUGCAUUAUUUCUUUAACCCAUUUGAGUUGUGUGCUCACUGUAAGAUUCUACAGUAAGAUUUUUCAGUGCAUUGCGUGGAAUAAAUACAGUAUUCAGCUGCUGGUA